Molecule: long non-coding RNA, 1106 nt
Organism: Astyanax mexicanus (Mexican tetra)
Lineage: Eukaryota; Metazoa; Chordata; Actinopteri; Characiformes; Acestrorhamphidae
Exons: 2
Source: RefSeq, a predicted model, not a curated record
UAGUUUAUACUAUAUAACUGUAUAGUUUUACUAUACAGUUAUAUGUUGUAAAUAUCACUCAAUCACUUGUAGACAAUAUGUUGCCCAAAUUGCACACGUUUCCCUUCCAAGAAAACAACAGUGAUGCUGUUUCUGUAAUGACAUUAGCUAUUAUUGUUUUGACAGUGGUCAUGUAAUUGACUAAAUGUUUCAUUUCUGGAACAGAGAAUGUUUUGGUGUUUUGAGAGAAUUAGUUAAUGAUGAUCAACGUUUUAGUGUUGUGACAGCAAAAUGAGCUUUUGUGCAGGAAAUGAACUGUUCGGUUAAAUGUGUGAGUUAAAUUUGUUUCUGUAUUUACAGUUUAGAAAUGUAUUUAAAGUACUGGUAAACUCUGAACUGGUAAACUAAUUUCGUCACUUUUUAUGCAUUAAUAUGCAAAUAGCUUAAUUCAGAUAUAAUAGUCUAAUAAUAUAAUAGAAGAGUCUGUGUAGUUUUAAACAUGGAAGCUGCGGAUCAGGCUCAUACGCGUCACUUCUGCUGCCCCUAGGCGCCACUUAAAAAACGCGCAUCUAACUGGCUUUAAUCUCCUGCAGCGCAGCUACACGACGCAACAGUCUGAAGAAACUUCUCAUUUCAGCUCAGAAUGGCUCACAUUACAGUGAGGCAUCUCGGAAUUAUCUUCCUUCUAACCUGUUUUACAUCGCAGGUGGUUUCUCAGACCACACUGUCUGCAAACUCAACCCUGUCACCAGUGAAGAACCAGACAUUUUUCAACGGCACUAUGGCAACAAGCACAUAUGGUGGUACAUUGAAUGUCACCACUGCUCCAGCCGGUGUCGCCUACCAACUGCGGCCCAGCGCCCUCUUUGUGGUAAUAUCUGGAGCCAUGGCAACCUCGCUGCUUCACUACUGCUGCUGAGUCACAUCUGUAACCUGCGUCCACUGCUUCAUCUUUAUCUUCCACACGAGCCUUACCACAAUCAAAGCAACACUGAGCCCUUACACUGGGGACUUGACAAGCAGAACAAAUUGUUUGCAAAGUCAAGAUAUGGGUAGACAUCUUUUACCUUCAGCGGAAUGAUUGUUCAAAAUAAAUCUAUGAAUUAAAUUUGCUUGAUUCAACUCUA